Molecule: ribosomal RNA, 254 nt
Filed under: uncultured bacterium
Lineage: Bacteria
Description: partial 16S ribosomal RNA
Rfam family: Bacterial small subunit ribosomal RNA
Source: RNAcentral
UACGUAGGGUGCAAGCGUUGUCCGGAAUUAUUGGGCGUAAAGAGCUCGUAGGCGGUUUGGUAAGUCGGAUGUGAAAUCUCCAGGCUCAACCUGGAGGGGUCAUUCGAGACUGCUAUGACUAGAGUUCGGUAGAGGAGUGUGGAAUUCCUGGUGGAGCGGUGAAAUGCGCAGAUAUCAGGAGGAACACCCGUAGCGAAGGCGGCACUCUGGGCCGAUACUGACGCUGAGGAGCGAAAGCGUGGGGAGCGAACAGG